Molecule: unclassified non-coding RNA, 554 nt
Filed under: Hevea brasiliensis (rubber tree)
Lineage: Eukaryota; Viridiplantae; Streptophyta; Magnoliopsida; Malpighiales; Euphorbiaceae
Source: RNAcentral
GAUAGUAUAAUUUACAUGAAAACAGCAAAGAAUACAACAGACAAAUUCAGUUCAAAUAAAAUUCAAAAGAUCAAUUGAUUGUGUUCUCCAGGGAUCAUUUGUGUAGAUUAAACAGCAUGAUCUGAAUUUCCAGGAGAGAUGCCAUAAUGCAUUUGCUUUAACCGCAAAAUUUAGCUAACCUUUUAGAGGAUCGGAUGAACAGACAAUUGCCAUUACCGUAUUAAGCCAAAGCAGUCACAAGGCAACUCUCCUUUGGCAACUCAUGAUUGAGAUCAAAUAUUGGUAUCCCAUUAAUUACCUGCCAAGCGAGAGCUGCCUUACGACCGCUUUGCUUAUUGAUGUAGCUCAUUUUGCUUCAUACCGCUUCUGGGUUUCGGAGCUUUGUAAGCACUCUGAUUGGUGCUGCACUGUUGAUGGAAUAAACUGUAGAAGAAAUGGCAUAUGCCCGCAGCUUUAGGAUUAUGCUGUGGAUAUCCCCCCAAUGCCAUUUUCCUUUUGUUUGUCAGAAAUAUAAAAUAUUGCAUGUGUGAGAUUCUUCUGCUUCUCAACUUUGU